UGCCGGGAUUGCAGAUGGAGUCUCGUUCACUCAGUGCUCAAUGGUGCCCAGGCUGGAGUGCAGUGGCAUGAUCUCGGCUCGCUACAACCUCCACCUCCCAGCCGCCUGCCUUGGCCUCCCAAAGUGCUGAGAUUGCAGCCUCUGCCUGGCCGCCAUCCCAUCUAGGAAGUGAGGAGCACCUCUUCCCGGCCGCCAUCCCAUCUAGGAAGUGAGGAGCGUCUCUGCCCAGCCGCCCAUCGUCUGAGAUGUGGGGAGCGCCUCUGCCC
Molecule: long non-coding RNA, 266 nt
Filed under: Homo sapiens (human)
Lineage: Eukaryota; Metazoa; Chordata; Mammalia; Primates; Hominidae
Description: LHRI_LNC710.1
Source: RNAcentral